RNAcentral lists this ribosomal RNA (882 nucleotides) under uncultured archaeon. Its description in RNAcentral is "bacterial SSU rRNA". It matches the Rfam family "Archaeal small subunit ribosomal RNA", at positions 114 to 997 of the family's 1478-position model. The record is from RNAcentral.
CUUGAGAUGGGAAUAAACCCGGGAAACUGGGUAUAAUACCCGAUAGAUCUCGACUGCUGGAAUGCAUCGAGAUCCAAAGCUCCGGCGCUCAAGGAUGGAUCUGCGGCCUAUCAGGUAGUAGUGGGUGUAGCGUACCUACUAGCCUACGACGGGCACGGGUUGUGAGAGCAAGAGCCCGGAGAUGGAUUCUGAGACACGAAUCCAGGCCCUACGGGGUGCAGCAGGCGCGAAAACUUUACAAUGCUGGAAACAGCGAUAAGGGGACCUCGAGUGCCAGGUUACAAAUCUGGCUGUCGUGAUGCCUAAAAAGCAUUGCAUAGCAAGGGCCGGGCAAGACCGGUGCCAGCCGCCGCGGUAACACCGGCGGCUCGAGUGGUAACCGUUAUUAUUGGGUCUAAAGGGUCUGUAGCCGACCGGAUAAGUCUCUUGGGAAAUCUGGCAGCUUAACUGUCAGGCUUUCAGGAGAUACUGUCUGGCUCGAGGCCGGGAGAGGUGAGAGGUACUUCAGGGGUAGGGGUGAAAUCUUGUAAUCCUUGAAGGACCACCAGUGGCGAAGGCGUCUCACCAGAACGGACCUGACGGCAAGGGACGAAAGCUAGGGGCACGAACCGGAUUAGAUACCCGGGUAGUCCUAGCCGUAAACGAUACUCGCUAGGUGUCGGCAACGGUGCGACCGUUGUCGGUGCCGUAGGGAAGCCGUGAAGCGAGCCACCUGGGAAGUACGGCCGCAAGGCUGAAACUUAAAGGAAUUGGCGGGGGAGCACCACAACGGGUGGAGCUUGCGGUUUAAUUGGAUUCAACGCCGGAAAUCUUACCGGGACCGACAGCAAUAUGAAGGCCAGGCUGAAGACUUUGCCGGAUUAGCUGAGAGGUGGUGCAUGG